Molecule: RNA transcript, 1189 nt
Organism: Quercus lobata
Lineage: Eukaryota; Viridiplantae; Streptophyta; Magnoliopsida; Fagales; Fagaceae
Gene name: non-functional pseudokinase ZED1-like
Exons: 1
Source: RefSeq, a predicted model, not a curated record
UUUGUUAAGAAUGUUAAGAAAGAAACGAGACAAAAAAAGAGACCAAGAAAGAGACACAGAAAGAGAGAGAGCGUUUUAUGAAAAUGGAAGCAAACUACAUGAGAAGCUGAUUGCCUCUUGUAAUGGUAGGCCAAUUCCUAUCCGUAGCUACUCUUGUGAAGAACUCCAGGGGGCAACAAAUAACUUUGAUCGUAGCCGUAUUUUUCAUACAGAUGGGCUAUAUGAAUGGUAUAAUGGUUCCUUUGAAGGCCGAAUGAUUUCCAUUAAGAAGCACUUACAACACCGCGGUGACGAUAUUUUCACUGAUAUAGCUGUUUCUGCAAAGAUGAGCACUCACAAUAAUGUUCUAAAGCUCAUAGGGUGCUGUCUCGAGGCUCAAAUUCCCAUUUCAGUGUAUGAAUCUGCUGCAAAUGGAUCACUUAGUGGUCGAGUAUAUGAUGUUACUAGUGAUCGUGAUGGUGCACAACAACAUCAACGUGAGCCCUUGUCAUGGCAGAGCAGGCUAAAGAUUGCAAGGGAAAUUGCUCAUGCAAUUUCGUAUCUCCACACUGCGUUCUCAAGACCUAUUGUCCACAGGGACAUAAAAUCAGGAAAUGUCUUCCUAGACCAAAACGAUGUUGCCAAACUAACUGAUUUUUCAUGGUCCAUAUUGAUCCCUGAAGGUGAAACUCACGUAGAGGAUUUUGUUUGUGGAACUCACACUUUUUUAUGCCCCCACUAUGCGACUACAGGCUAUAUAACGGAGAAAGUUGACGUCUACAGCUUCGGAUCGUUACUAUUAGAGCUUUGAACUGGACAGAGUUUGGUUGAGCUUUUAACUGACUAUUUUAAUUUUGAGGAUUUUGAAAUUGACGCAGAAAGAUUUACCAUAAAUGAGGUUGUGGAUCCAGCAAUCCUUGUAGGGGAAGAAGGAUCUGUUGUGUGGCAACAAUUAGAAGCUGUAUUACCGCUUGCCCUCAUUUGCAGAAAAAAGGAUCCGGAGAUCAGACCAAAUAUGGUUGAUGUUACAAAAGAGCUCAGAAAAAUUGAGAGGUUCAUCCUAUGAUUAUUAGAUCUGCCACUUCUAGCUCUCUCAUUGCUUUUGUAUUGCGGUAGGUCCAAGUGAGGAGAAGAGAGAACUGUUAGUGUUUGUUUUGUGAAAUUUUGUGUGUAAUUUUUUAGAAGUUAAAUGAGUUCAUUUUCAGGUGAA